This 447-nucleotide ribosomal RNA is filed under the name uncultured bacterium. Its description in RNAcentral is "partial 16S ribosomal RNA". It matches the Rfam family "Bacterial small subunit ribosomal RNA", at positions 29 to 523 of the family's 1533-position model. The record is from RNAcentral.
AGCGGACGCUGGCGGCAGGCUUAACACAUGCAAGUCGAGCGCCCCGCAAGGGGAGCGGCAGACGGGUGAGUAACACGUGGGAACGUGCCCUUUGGUCCGGAACAACCCAGGGAAACUUGGGCUAAUACCGGAUACGUCCGUAAGGAGAAAGAUUUAUCGCCAAAGGAUCGGCCCGCGUCUGAUUAGCUAGUUGGUGGGGUAACGGCCCACCAAGGCUACGAUCAGUAGCUGGUCUGAGAGGAUGAUCAGCCACAUUGGGACUGAGACACGGCCCAAACCCCUACGGGAGGCAGCAGUGGGGAAUAUUGGACAAUGGGGGCAACCCUGAUCCAGCCAUGCCGCGUGAGUGAUGAAGGCCUUAGGGUUGUAAAGCUCUUUUAGCGGGGAAGAUAAUGACGGUACCCGCAGAAAAAGCCCCGGCUAACUUCGUGCCAGCAGCCGCCGUAA